This 251-nucleotide ribosomal RNA is filed under the name uncultured bacterium. Its description in RNAcentral is "partial 16S ribosomal RNA". It matches the Rfam family "Bacterial small subunit ribosomal RNA", at positions 524 to 774 of the family's 1533-position model. The record is from RNAcentral.
UACGUAGGGGGCAAGCGUUAUCCGGAUUUACUGGGUGUAAAGGGAGCGUAGGCGGCUUAGUAAGUCAGAAGUGAAAGCCCGCAGCUCAACUGCGGGACUGCUUUUGAAACUGCCAAGCUAGAGUGUCGGAGAGGUAAGUGGAAUUCCUAGUGUAGCGGUGAAAUGCGUAGAUAUUAGGAGGAACACCAGUGGCGAAGGCGGCUUACUGGACGAUGACUGACGCUGAGGCUCGAAAGCGUGGGGAGCAAACA